RNAcentral lists this ribosomal RNA (468 nucleotides) under uncultured bacterium. Its description in RNAcentral is "partial 16S ribosomal RNA". It matches the Rfam family "Bacterial small subunit ribosomal RNA", at positions 28 to 507 of the family's 1533-position model. The record is from RNAcentral.
GACGAACGCUGGCGGCGUGCUUAACACAUGCAAGUCGAACGGAAAGGCCCUGAUUUUGUGGGGUGCUCGAGUGGCGAACGGGUGAGUAACACGUGAGUAACCUGCCCUUGACUUUGGGAUAACUUCAGGAAACUGGGGCUAAUACCGGAUAGGAGCUCCUGCUGCAUGGUGGGGGUUGGAAAGUUUCGGCGGUUGGGGAUGGACUCGCGGCUUAUCAGCUUGUUGGUGGGGUAGUGGCUUACCAAGGCUUUGACGGGUAGUCGGCCUGAGAGGGUGACCGGCCACAUGAAUACUGAGAUACGUCCCAGACUCCUACUGGACUCAGCAGUGAGGAAUAUUGCACAAUGGUCGGAAGCCUGAUGCAGCAACACCACGUGCGGGAUGACGGCCUUCGGGUUGUAAACCGCUUUCGCCUGUGACGAAGCGUAAGUAACGGUAAUAGGUAAAGAAGCACCGGCUAACUACGUG